AUUGAACGCUGGCGGCAGGCCUAACACAUGCAAGUCGAAUGGUAACAGGAAACAGCUUGCUGUUUCGCUGACGAGUGGCGGACGGGUGAGUAAUGUCUGGGAAACUGCCUGAUGGAGGGGGAUAACUACUGGAAACGGUAGCUAAUACCGCAUAACGUCGCAAGACCAAAGAGGGGGACCUUCGGGCCUCUUGCCAUCAGAUGUGCCCAGAUGGGAUUAGCUAGUAGGUGGGGUAACGGCUCACCUAGGCGACGAUCCCUAGCUGGUCUGAGAGGAUGACCAGCCACACUGGAACUGAGACACGGUCCAGACUCCUACGGGAGGCAGCAGUGGGGAAUAUUGCACAAUGGGCGCAAGCCUGAUGCAGCCAUGCCGCGUGUAUGAAGAAGGCCUUCGGGUUGUAAAGUACUUUCAGCGGGGAGGAAGGGAGUAAAGUUAAUACCUUGGCUAAUUGACGUUACCCGCAGAAGAAGCACCGGCUAACUCCGUG
Molecule: ribosomal RNA, 490 nt
Filed under: uncultured bacterium
Lineage: Bacteria
Description: partial 16S ribosomal RNA
Rfam family: Bacterial small subunit ribosomal RNA
Source: RNAcentral